This is a non-coding RNA of Phasianus colchicus (ring-necked pheasant), 4299 nucleotides long. The record is from RefSeq and is a predicted model, not a curated record. Lineage: Eukaryota; Metazoa; Chordata; Aves; Galliformes; Phasianidae.
CCUACACCUAGUGCUCGGCCGGAACCUUGUUGCCAGGGGAGACCGGCGCUUUACGGCAGCGCGUUUGAACGGCGGCGGGGGAAAAGGCGCUGCCCCAGGAACCCUUGUCUGUUCAUUCGGAGCAAGCUGUACUUCCUGACAGUACGAGGAGGGAAGCGUCCUCCUGGUGCUUGCUGUUGCUCCUUCACACAUGGCUGUAGUGUCAGUGGAACACAGGGCCCUGAGGUCUCUGAGCUGCUGGGAGAAAUGACACCAUGCUCAGCGCACCCUGAGAGCACAACUGAAGCUGGCAGGAACAUUCCUACCUCUGUGCUGCCAUAGCUGGCAAAGCAUGCAGUACUUCUGCAGGGACUGUUUACCAAUACAUACAGGAAAGCUGUUGUUUUGGAGCUGUAAUGGUUUUGGAGCUUGCAACAUGGAUUCUGAAUAUACAGAAUUAACAUAAAGGAAACCAAAAAAGAAUAUAUAUCACUUUCCUGUGCUAUAGUGAUGGAUUACCUGCUCUGUUGACUUGGGCAAGACUGGAGAAUAAAAAAAACCAGGCAAACUUGUCCACUGCUGUGACAACCUAGCCUGAAGUGCCAAGUUCUGCAAACAGGCCAUUCUUCAUGAGCAGAAGAAAAUACUAAAUGGUACCCAGCCAGCCAGGGAUCACCAAAUGCGCCAGAGCAAAACCCAUGGUUGAACUGAAAAGGGAGCGUUAUGUAAGUUCUGCUGUGCAUUCUUCUUCUUGCUGCUCACUGAUGUUUCUCAUGUCCUACCAUACAAAAGCUCAGAGUGCCUUUCCUGCACUGGCUUUUCCUGUAUUUCAGGGCAUUAAAUAAUACGCAGAGCAAUUUCACAUAACAUUUGUAGCGUAUAUCUGUCAUUACAUAGCAUACGCUUGUAUACACACACAUGCAUAAAGCUAUUUUUAAAGAUUAGGAAGGUCACAAAGUCAUGGGCUUGGCCUAGAUUCCUGAUCCCUUGGUUAUGCCUGUGGCUGUCCCCUCAUCCCUCCCCAGGAGAUUGCUGCUGCUGUGGCUGCUGUCAGAUCCCCGUGUGUCAGCAAACUGCAAGCAGCAGUGGCUCAGCUAAGAAGUACUGUGCUGGACCAGCAGCUGCGGGCUCAGUCUUUCUCCCAUUUAUUUAAAGGGACUUAAGAGGUUACCAUGUCCAGUUGUACGACCAGCGUUAUUCUCAGCUGCUACAGCUAUAUCCAACAUGGAUGUCAGCUUCACAGAAAGGAAAUAUUAAUGAUUCUCUUUUCAGUCAGUUCCAAUUCGUAAUCAUGAUAACAUUACCCCAUCUCAUUCUGUGCUUUGAGAAGAUGUGUACUCAGUGAUUUAUUAGUUUUUCUUUCCUCUUUAUUCAAAAUAGUUCCUAAAUCCAAGCCAUACAGUUUAUGCAAAUCCCUAUUAUGAAGUCAACAAAGAAUUUCCAUUGCAGACAGUUUCAGUUGGAUGUUUAAGUUUGACUUAAUUUUUUGCUUAAUUGACAUACAUUAUAUAGAAUGUCAUAUAUCAUGUCAGACUCAUCAGAGCUGGCUUCCCAAAUGCUUUGAGACACUAACAAAGAUCACAACACGGGAAAUUCCUUAACCAAGAAAAGUAUUUGAGGAUUCAUUUGGACUUUCUUGUUCCAAUAGCAUCUACUAAAAAUACAUUUACCAGCUAGGAGUAGAAAUCUCUGCUUCUGUGGGUGUGAUAUGGGGAGAUAGGUAACAAGUACUCCAAGUACUUUUUAUUCCACUUUCCUUCUGGGAAAAGAUUCAGAUUUCUUCAAGCCUUUUGCUCUUCCCCAUCAGAAUCUUCACAAACUCAUCAGAAAGUUCUUUCUCUCUCAAUUAAAAGAAUGUCAAAGAUGCUUAAUUUCCCCUUUGCAGUCCUACUCACAUCUAAAUCUGCAUUUGACAUUUCAUGCUACGCCCAGUUCCAACAGAUGUAGGCUCUGCAUCCGUACAAUUAGGUACUGUGUUAAGUGAUAUCUAAUUAUAGGAGAUGUCUCCUUGAGCCAUAUGGCUUUCCCUGUAUUUUCCUAGAUGGUGUAUGAAAGGUAAAUGUGCAGUUUUGUUACAGAGAUCCACCAUUUUUGAGAAGUCAUGGGAAGGGUCAUGCUUCUCUGAGGGAUCCAGUGCUCCUUGGACAGUGUGGCCAGACCAUAUAGAACACUUUCUCCCAGCUGUAAAUAUGAGCUCAAAAGGAAAACAUAGGGAUUAAUUAAUAUCUGGACAUUGAUCUGGAGCCUGAGAAUUUAUGUUACAGGAUGAAACGCUGCAAUCAUUUCUGUAUCUUUCCCAUUUAGAAACAGUACUUUUCAAUUUUUGAAUUAGUAUUCAUUUCACUGCAAGAGACCUCUCUUCUGUUACCUGGCCACCUGGGAACCUUUUAUAAGAAAAAACAUCAUUCCAGUAUUAGAAGGAAUAUUUCAACUUGCCAUAUUUAAUCAGGACAUAUUGAAGCAAGAUGCGAAGUAGUAUCAGCUAAAAGCUAAACUGUCUUAGAUGCUAAGUGAGUGUAACCUUCCUGUCUGAAGAGAUCCAAAGAGUUUAAUAAAUUACUGGCUUAGUGCUAUGCACAAAAUAAUGAGUAGCAAUUUAACAAUAAAAGAAUUAAACAUUAAACACAGUAAGAAUAACCCACAAAGCUUAAGAUCGGUUAAGAUAUGUAUUAAAAUAUCUUAAUAUCUUAAGGGUUAAGGUUCGUGCAGAAGGGUGUCAGGUUUGUUUGCAUGCCUCCCCCGUUUGGGAUUAGAUCACAUUCCCCAAGGCUGGAGGCAAUCUCCUUGUUAUCAUUUUCCAUUAUGAAAUUUUCAGUGCUGCUCUGUCAGGCUGCAACCACGUCUUUACUGUGCAGCAGACAUGCAGCCGGCUGUCAGCCGCUCUGCGUGCAAACAGCUCAGCCAUCACUGGGAGCAUUGCCUGCUCACCCAGUGGUGCUGUUAUCCAUCCGAUCCUGGAGCAGGAAUUUGCAGGGGCACCUAAGGAGGAGGAAGACGAGGCUGUUCCCUGACAGCUCUCUGAAAUGGACUCAGGGUGUGUUUGGCCAGUGCUUCACUACAUUUUGCUGAGUCAAGUCGGCAUUAAAGUGAAUACAAGUUCUCCCCUGGGAGUCCUGACUACAGCUGAGGAUGUGAGGAAGUUAAGGAGGGAAGCUUUCAGAGCCUUGGAGUACUUUCAGAGCCUUUUUUUUUUUUUCUUUCUUUCUUUUUAAUACUCAGGAAAAAAUGAAAGGCAAGACCCAUGAUCCAUGGUACCUGAAAACUGUUCUUACACCCAUAUGCAUCUUCACUCCAGUUGAUUUCAUCUGGAGGAUCCCUACUGGAGAAGGAAUUUUGGGGUGACUUGUUAUCCACUACCCAAUCUACCCAGAGCUGUCCGUAGUAGGCAUUACUAUGAAACUUGCCAGCAUCAGUGCUGUGUCUCUUCCAGACCCAGCUAUUACUGAGCAGCCUCCAUUUUUCCAUGCUUGAAUUGGUUGUACAUGGCAUCUGGCAGGUUUCUUUCAGUGCAUUUGGUAUUUAGUAGUAUUCUGUAUCAUUACGAGAGUGUUUCAGUGCAACUUGGUGGGAGUAAUCUGUAUGUAGUUCAUUCAUCUCAGGGCAGUAGAAAGCAAAAUGUUUCUUGGAGGGACAGAGCUGAAAGGAAUCUGUCCCCCGAAGCUCAGUGCAGGCAGUUCUGCAGUGCAGAUGGAAGGAUGGGUGCUGGAAGGCAAUGUCAGGGGUACAGCCUGCAGAGCUGCUUGUAAAAAGACACGCAAAAAAAAACCCAACAAGACAAUGAAAACGUGCUCUGGGGAAGAAGUCCAGCGAAUGAACUGUUGGCAAAGCUCUGGCUGAGAAUAGUCUUCAAUGGCAACACUGUAGCUGCCUUCUAGUGUCUCAUUCCUAACUCCAGGGACUUAACGUGGGAGCCUCAGCGACCCCUCUAUUACCUGCACGGCGCAGAUCGGAGAAAUGACCCAUUACCGUGCUUUCGAGCAGAACAAAGCCGCUAGAUCCGACUGGAAGCCCUGCAGAGGCACCAGGAGAUGGAUAGGGAUGCUCCUCCAUCAGGAAGAGCCUCGGGGCAGGACGGGGAGGAAAGGUCAGACUUCAGUCAAUGUUAGUGCCUUGAGAGCCCUUGGUUGGUUUUGCUUUGCUUUGUUCCUCUAUCACUUUAAAUAUCUUUCAUUUAUCUACCUAAGUGGCCUAGAAUGAAGUGUUUCGACAUAAUGAAGCACAGCUAUAGAACAAGAGGAGUUCGAACUAUUUUAACUGGUAAUCAUCCCCAGAAUUUCCAAGUAAAAAUCUUUUGUAUACAGUUAGAAAGAAAAAAAAAAA